GAUUGGACAAGCCCGCUUCACUUUAUCGAUACACCGGACGAUGCUUGCUCAUAUCAAUAUUCAAGUAAGCAGAAAGCCAAGCAAUCCUUUUGAUCACACUGAAUUACAUAGAAGUAAUGCAAAAUUUGUCAUUUGUUUUAGGGGACUGCAUGAUCAGCAUGGUGUAAAGGACAUGUGUUGCUGGUGCAAUCCAAAACUUCACCUCACAGCUUGUGCCCUUCAGGGAGGGAUCUUCGGACCAUCGCCAUAACAUGACAGAAGCCUUGUUGUUCUUGUCACACUUCAUGGGAGAUAUCCAUCAGCCGAUGCACAUCUGUUUCACGAACGACGAAGGAGGGAACACCAUCGCGUAGCGGUGGUUUCGGCACAAAUCGAAUCUGCAUCAUGUGUGGGACAGGGAGAUCA
Long non-coding RNA from Hibiscus syriacus, 405 nucleotides. RefSeq lists it as uncharacterized. The transcript has 3 exons. Lineage: Eukaryota; Viridiplantae; Streptophyta; Magnoliopsida; Malvales; Malvaceae. The record is from RefSeq and is a predicted model, not a curated record.